Molecule: non-coding RNA, 563 nt
Organism: Malus domestica (apple)
Lineage: Eukaryota; Viridiplantae; Streptophyta; Magnoliopsida; Rosales; Rosaceae
Source: RefSeq, a predicted model, not a curated record
CAACUAGGUUAUAGAUUUGGUUUUGCGGUUUUGGGUUUGCACUUCUCUUCAACUCUUGACUGCUUCUGCGCCUUGCAUCUUUGCCUCUGCCUCUGCAAUCCGCAUCUCUGCCUCUACCUCUGCGACUACGACUGCCUGUUUGCAUCUCUACCUCUGCAAUUGCAACCUCACUGAGUCACUGCUUGCCUUGCAUCCCCAGAUCCCCUUCAUUUGCAAGCCCUAAUCUCUGCAAAUCAAAAGUUCUGCAAAACAGACUUGGCAAAUCAUUCACCUGCUCUUCGUUCCAGCUAAUAUGGCAGGUGGAAGUGGGCAUGAGGCUGCACACGCUGGAUUUCUGGGGAAUGGAAUGCUAACUGCAGCUAUUUGCGGGGAUGUUUUUGCCUCACCACAAGUUGAUUCAAUUCUAGCAGGCAUCCGAGCUGUGACUGGUAUAAUUUGAAGGAGCAUUCUGAAAGACCAUUGCUUGGGUUGUGACUGAUAUAUUUAUCAUCAUAGGGUUUUUGAACUCCUUCAGGUUGUCUUCUUAUUGUGCAGGUAUAAUUUCUACUUUGUCUUGAAGUUUG